Molecule: ribosomal RNA, 492 nt
Filed under: uncultured bacterium
Lineage: Bacteria
Description: partial 16S ribosomal RNA
Rfam family: Bacterial small subunit ribosomal RNA
Source: RNAcentral
AGUGAACGCUGGCGGUAGGCCUAACACAUGCAAGUCGAACGGCAGCACAGUAAGAGCUUGCUCUUACGGGUGGCGAGUGGCGGACGGGUGAGGAAUACAUCGGAAUCUACUUUUUCGUGGGGGAUAACGUAGGGAAACUUACGCUAAUACAGCAUACGACCUACGGGUGAAAGCAGGGGAUCUUCGGACCUUGCGCGAUUGAAUGAGCCGAUGUCGGAUUAGCUAGUUGGCGGGGUAAAGGCCCACCAAGGCGACGAUCCGUAGCUGGUCUGAGAGGAUGAUCAGCCACACUGGAACGGAGACACGGUCCAGACUCCUACGGGAGGCAGCAUUGGGGAAUAUUGGACAAUGGGCGCAAGCCUGAUCCAGCCAUACCGCGUGGGUGAAGAAGGCCUUCGGGUUGUAAAGCCCUUUUGUUGGGAAAGAAAAGCAGCAGGUUAAUACCCCGCUGUUCUGACGGUACCCAAAGAAUAAGCACCGGCUAACUUCGUG